This 29-nucleotide non-coding RNA is filed under the name Mus musculus (house mouse). The record is from RNAcentral. Lineage: Eukaryota; Metazoa; Chordata; Mammalia; Rodentia; Muridae.
UGUCAGGAUGGAUGAACUAAUUGCUGGGC